CUGAGGGUCGUCCGUCCUCCCCCGAGGGGCCCGUAGCAACCCAGAGAUCUUCUCCUCCUGCUCUUCCCUCCGCUCUGCAGGUCCGGGCUCACGUCUGCGGUGGCUUUGUGCUCCUUCCUCUCUGCCGUCCGCCUGCCACUCUCCUGGGCCCCCUUGAAAUCUAGACACCCUCACCGUCACAUGUCAGGGCUGGAGAGCUGAGCUCAGGGGGACUUCACAGAUGAAGGACAAGCCUUUCGCACGACGCCCUGACAUCUCUUGACCUGCUCCGUUCCACUGCCUCUGACUCGUGCGAGUCCUCACCGACCUGUCACCCUAUGGAUCCUGCGUGUGUUCAAGUAUCUCCUGUCUUAAAAACAAACACAUUUCUCCAGAGAGACUUUCAGCCCUACCCGGAAAUCAGUCCUCCUCGGGGCCCCAGAUCACCAACGUGACUCCUCCGCCGUCACCUGUGUGACCCUGCAGUGUAACACAACCUCACCUCUCCGCUUCCUCCACUGCACUGCAAGCUCCUCAAA
Long non-coding RNA from Heterocephalus glaber (naked mole-rat), 518 nucleotides. RefSeq lists it as uncharacterized. NCBI's taxonomy places the organism in Eukaryota, Metazoa, Chordata, Mammalia, Rodentia, Bathyergidae. The record is from RefSeq and is a predicted model, not a curated record.